Molecule: ribosomal RNA, 252 nt
Filed under: uncultured bacterium
Lineage: Bacteria
Description: partial 16S ribosomal RNA
Rfam family: Bacterial small subunit ribosomal RNA
Source: RNAcentral
ACGUAGGUGGCAAGCGUUGUCCGGAGUUACUGGGUGUAAAGGGCGUGUAGGCGGGAAGAUAAGUCAGAUGUGAAAUUCCAUGGCUCAACUGUGGCGCUGCAUCUGAAACUAUUUUUCUUGAGUGAUGGAGAGGAAAGUGGAAUUCCUAGUGUAGCGGUGAAAUGCGUAGAUAUUAGGAGGAACACCAGUGGCGAAGGCGACUUUCUGGACAUUAACUGACGCUGAGGCGCGAAAGCGUGGGGAGCAAACAGG